GAUUGAAUAAAGACAGAAUACAUCAGUAUUGCCUUGUCAAUGGUUUUCCAUUUGGCAACAUGUGCUUUAUUAAUAGGUAGAUUUUGAAUGACUGCAACCUAUGCCCUAAGCCCCAUGGAAAGAUUUUAAAUGAUUCCACAGAGAAUGGCAACAUAAUGGAAAAACUGGAGUUAUGGGGGCUUAAGUUCAAAUCCAAUUGUACCAAAAAAAUAAAAAGAUAAGGCUAUUGGCCAAUCUUCU
RNAcentral lists this unclassified non-coding RNA (240 nucleotides) under Hevea brasiliensis (rubber tree). The record is from RNAcentral. Lineage: Eukaryota; Viridiplantae; Streptophyta; Magnoliopsida; Malpighiales; Euphorbiaceae.